This 1300-nucleotide unclassified non-coding RNA is filed under the name Athalia rosae (coleseed sawfly). RNAcentral describes it as "misc RNA ENSAEAG00005003977.1". The record is from RNAcentral. Lineage: Eukaryota; Metazoa; Arthropoda; Insecta; Hymenoptera; Athaliidae.
UUCUUCACUGCUCAAUUUACAUGCCUAUAAUUGAGAGUAGAAUGAAUUCUUGCCUAUUUAUUCAUGAUAACAUCAAAACUUAGACAAUAGUCUACAGGUAUACCUUAUAGGGAGGUAGUGAUGGCUGCCACGUAUCUCUUUCUGUCCUGGCAUUUUCCGCCCGUUGAAGUUGUUCGGCUUUUAGAUACAAAUGUACUUCCAUGUACCUUUUAAGUGCGACUGCUACAUGUCGGACUAUUUGUCUCGAUGCGCAUUCUUCGUCAUCAUUCAAGGCUGGAUCCUCGUCAAUACUUAGUAUGGAUAUACUUACUACAUUGUACAGUUUUCUAAGUCCAUCCUGUGCAUCAAAUUCUUCAAGGAUAACUUUGAAUGGAAAAGAGAAUCCAAAGAACAUAGUUGCAUGACACCUCCCAGAAUCAUGACUCCUCUCAAGUAACCAUAACGCAUAUUUCACUAAAUCAGUUAUUAUAUGUUUUGGCAAGAGGCAGACUCUUUCCAUAGCAUCUUCGCAAUAAGCGAGAUAGUAUAAGCAAAUAGACACACCAGUUGCCGCUACACUUGGUCGCGGUACGUCUAAAAGUUUUUGUAAACCACCCAUGUUCAAAAAUUCGAUGGAAAAUUUUUUGUGACACAAUAAAGAUGCCAAGUAUUUCAAUGCUUCAAAGGCCAAACGGCUAUCUUUAGUUUCUCGUACAUUUAUGUACUUUAAUAUCAAUUCCAAAGCAUUUUGUUCGAACACAUGCCCAAGAUUUUCUUGAUAUUCUCCCAUUGGUGUCAGGUACCUUAAAAUAAGCAUCUGACGGGUUGCUAAAGUUGGUGGAUGUAUCUGAACAUUGCCAAUAACGUAAGACUCCAUUUCAGCCCAGGAGGAGUUCGAAUUACUUUCCACCAAUGAGCAAGGUACACUUGUGACUUGAGUUUGCGAUCUAGACAAAUUAGAUCUGGCAGGUGUCAAUGUGGUGACCGGUCUUGGAGGUGUGAUACGAGAGUUUUGAUUUUUUGAGGGGGUGACUUGCAAGUUGGAGUUGCUAGUUGUUCUGGGAAUAGAUAAUGGCGGAGACAUAAUCUCUGGAUAAGAACUGUCACUUGCUUUCACAGGAGUUGAAAGAGCGUUGUCAGAAUUAUUUUGAGAUUUCAACUUUUUAUUGGGUGGCAGCUCAUCCGGACUAUGAGGACCAUCUUCUUCAUCAGAGCAUAAAAUUGAGUGUGUAGGGCUUUUUAGUGUUCCAUUCUCUCGUUUUCGCUCUCUGACUUUUCGCUUACCAGGAGUACCUUUGUGUUCAGAAUCACCUAAGCUAUU